RNAcentral lists this small nuclear RNA (89 nucleotides) under Solanum tuberosum (potato). Lineage: Eukaryota; Viridiplantae; Streptophyta; Magnoliopsida; Solanales; Solanaceae. The record is from RNAcentral.
AACAUAUGUCCCUUCUCCGAUAAAAUUGGAAUGGUACAGAGAAGAUUAGCAUGAUGACAUGCACAAAUCGAGAAAUAGUUCAAAUUUUU